Long non-coding RNA from Corapipo altera (White-ruffed manakin), 1042 nucleotides. RefSeq lists it as uncharacterized. Lineage: Eukaryota; Metazoa; Chordata; Aves; Passeriformes; Pipridae. The record is from RefSeq and is a predicted model, not a curated record. The transcript is spliced from 3 exons.
GCCCGGCCCGCGGGAGCGAAGUGUCCCCGCUGCUCCCCCACAGAGCUCUGGCCUCGGGAGCACUUUUGUUGUUCAGAAAGUGAGAAUGCUGCCGUGUUUAAAUGCCUCUUGAAUUCGCAACCUGAGCACACGUCCUGCUCUCUUCUUAAUCCUUCUGGCCUGCGCGUUUACCUGUGACUCUCCGGGAGCCUCCGCUGCUUGAGGACCGGAGCAGUGGUGCGGUUGGUGUGAUCGCAAUGGUUUGUCUACUUAAAGGUGCAGGGAGGAACCAUCAAGAAAAUUACCUCAUCAGCUUCAAAACUGUUACCUUGAGCACUUAAUAACCUUAAUGCAGUGAAGAUUGCACAGUCCACAGACAGAGCAACUCCACCAAUUUCAGGUGAAAGAAGGUGCCUUCCUUGGAUCUGCUCAGGCAUCACUUCUUUAUGACUUUGAUGACUAAAAGUUAGGUCCUGGUGAUUGUAAACUGCAUCCCAGGGUGCUGGCCCAGAAGGCACAGUGACUCAGAGGCAUGUGACGCAGAGUGCCUCCCCCUCUUCCUCCUGGCCAUGGGCAUGCAGGUACACACUGCUGGCCUAAUGCAUCCUUCAGUUACUACAUGUUCUUGCAGCUAUCUCACGCAGCCUUGCUCUGAAUGGUAAGUAGCAGGAGCGGGACCAUAUCUUCCCCUUUGUUCAUGCCUCUGCCUGCUCCCACUUAGUGGGCUCGAAGUACCAUUUCUCUGUGGUUAGAUCACCAGUCCAGCAGGUCCUGUGUGUAGGUGACUGCUCACUUAGUGAGCAUUUAAUCCUUUGUUUUGAGGUUUGCUGGUGCUUCUAGCCAACAUCUGGCUAUGGUGUGCCAAAUAAAACCCACAUCAGUGUUUCAUGUGAAUCCAUUGCAAGUACAAUUUAUGUCCUUCAGCAAUGUGAUUUACCUCUACCUUUUUGUUGUGUGGGUGGCUUCUUUGUUAAUGUAACCUGUGUGGCAAUCCUGGUUAAACCUUGGUGUAUAUGUCAUCUUCUAGCUCAUCAUCCCGCUUUAAAUAGCAAUUAAAAAUUAA